This 477-nucleotide ribosomal RNA is filed under the name uncultured bacterium. RNAcentral describes it as "bacterial SSU rRNA". It matches the Rfam family "Bacterial small subunit ribosomal RNA", at positions 29 to 507 of the family's 1533-position model. The record is from RNAcentral.
AUGAACGCUAGCGGCAGGCCUAACACAUGCAAGUCGAGGGGUAGAGUUCUUCGGGACUUGAGACCGGCGCACGGGUGCGUAACGCGUAUGCAAUCUACCUUAUACAGGGGAAUAGCCCAGAGAAAUUUGGAUUAAUGCCCCAUAGUGUUAUUGAAUCGCAUGGUUUAAUAACUAAAGUUCCAACGGUAUAAGAUGAGCAUGCGUCCCAUUAGUUAGUUGGUAAGGUAACGGCUUACCAAGACAAUGAUGGGUAGGGGUCCUGAGAGGGAGAUCCCCCACACUGGUACUGAGACACGGACCAGACUCCUACGGGAGGCAGCAGUGAGGAAUAUUGGACAAUGGGCGCAAGCCUGAUCCAGCCAUGCCGCGUGCAGGAAGAAGCAUCUAUGGUGUGUAAACUGCUUUUGUACGGGAAGAAACACUCCUUCGUGAAGGAGCUUGACGGUACCGUAAGAAUAAGGAUCGGCUAACUCCGUG